This 490-nucleotide ribosomal RNA is filed under the name uncultured bacterium. Its description in RNAcentral is "partial 16S ribosomal RNA". It matches the Rfam family "Bacterial small subunit ribosomal RNA", at positions 28 to 507 of the family's 1533-position model. The record is from RNAcentral.
GAUGAACGCUAGCGCUAGGCUUAACACAUGCCAGUCGAGGGGCAGCAUGGUCUUAGCUUGCUAAGGCUGAUGGCGACCGGCGCACGGGUGCGUAACGCGUAUGCAACUUGCCUCACAGAGGGGGAUAACCCGUCGAAAGACGGACUAAUACCGCGUACACUCUAUGUUGGGCAUCCAAUGUAGAGGAAAUGAAAUUCGCUGUGAGAUAGGCAUGCGUCCCAUUAGCUAGUUGGUGAGGUAACGGCUCACCAAGGCGACGAUGGGUAGGGGAACUGAGAGGUUGAACCCCCACACUGGUACUGAGACACGGACCAGACUCCUACGGGAGGCAGCAGUGAGGAAUAUUGGUCAAGGGGCGAGAGCCUGAACCAGCCAAGUCGCGUGAAGGAUGACUGUCUUAUGGAUUGUAAACUUCUUUUAUACGGGAAUAACAAGAGUCACGUGUGGCUCCCUGCAUGUACCGUAUGAAUAAGCAUCGGCUAACUCCGUG